CUUGGACAGGACAUUAAUGGAUUAGUGAUGGGAGCUCGAUGCUGAGUGGUCAUUUCUUGGCUGCAUUGUGCUCGCUUCUUAGCAAUAUUUGUCCAAACACUUGUGCACCUUAUGAGGGGUUUCCAGGUUGAUCUUGGAUUACCCUUUCACACACCCUAAUAUUUCAAUGUUGAACGUGUAUGUGCCAUCAUGGCCUUAAUAUAUAAUACAACUUUUAACAACGGAUCUCUUGGCUCUCGCAUCGAUGAAGAACGCAGCGAAAUGCGAUAAGUAAUGUGAAUUGCAGAAUUCAGUGAAUCAUCGAAUCUUUGAACGCACCUUGCGCCCCCCGGUAUUCCAGGGAGCACACCUGUUCGAGUGUCGUGACAUUCUCAAGCUGGAUGCUUUUUUCCUUUAAAAAGUUUUAUCCUAGCUUGGUUUUGGGCAUUGCGGUGCCCCCUUUAUUGGGGAACCGCUGGCCUUAAAAGUAUUAGCUGGCCCUCGUGUGGGAUUGGUUAUCCUCAGCGUGAUAAUAAUUUGUGACUGCUGGGGACAUCUUUCAGGAUGGCCAAGUUCCGCUCAAGGGUUGCUUCUAAUCUGUGGUUUCUAUAUUCUUUGAAUAUGGUCCCCACUUGCUCACAAUUCAGGCCUCGAAUCAGGUGGGAUUACCCGCUGAACUUAAGCAUAUCAUA
This 671-nucleotide ribosomal RNA is filed under the name uncultured Clavulinaceae. RNAcentral's name for it is "eukaryotic LSU rRNA". The stretch from base 210 to 363 matches the Rfam family "5.8S ribosomal RNA". Lineage: Eukaryota; Fungi; Basidiomycota; Agaricomycetes; Cantharellales; Hydnaceae. The record is from RNAcentral.